AGCGAACGCUGGCGGCGUGCUUAACACAUGCAAGUCGAGCGAGAAAGUCCCGCAAGGGAUGAGUACAGCGGCGAACGGGUGCGUAACACGUGGGCAAUCUAUCCUUGAGGUGGGGAUAACCCAGCGAAAGUUGGGCUAAUACCGGAUAAGACCACAAGAGGAAACUCUAGAGGUCAAAGGGCGCUUUUCUUUUUGGGAGCGCUCGCUUAGGGAGGAGCCCGCGGCCUAUCAGCUUGUUGGUAGGGUAACGGCCUACCAAGGCGAAGACGGGUAGCUGGUCUGAGAGGAUGACCAGCCACAC
This 301-nucleotide ribosomal RNA is filed under the name uncultured bacterium. RNAcentral's name for it is "bacterial SSU rRNA". It matches the Rfam family "Bacterial small subunit ribosomal RNA", at positions 29 to 313 of the family's 1533-position model. The record is from RNAcentral.